AUUUUCUUUUCCUUUUACCUUUUCUUUUUUUUUUCAUUUUUUGAGUCUUCGUAAAAAUAAGGGAAGCAUCGUAGCAUUGCAGAGAA
RNAcentral lists this non-coding RNA (86 nucleotides) under Thalassiosira minuscula. Lineage: Eukaryota; Bacillariophyta; Thalassiosirophyceae; Thalassiosirales; Thalassiosiraceae. The record is from RNAcentral.